ACCGGAAUGAACGGCUAAAUGAAGACUAAACUGUCUCUUGCGGCCAGACCAAUGAAAUUGAUCUUCCAGUACAAAAGCUGAAAUAUACCCAUAAGACGAGAAGACCCUGUGGAGCUUUAAAACCAAGCGCAUCAAGCAUGCCUCUUGGAUUUUUAGUUGGGGCGACUUUGGAGCAUAAAAAAACCUCCAAAACAUGAAAUUUAAAUUAAGACCAACACGACAAAAUAAUAACAUAAGACCAGCAACCAACUACACGUUGACUGACCAAUGAACCAAGUUACCCCAGGGAUAACAGCGCCAUCCCCUUCCAGAGUCCAUAUCGACAAGGGGGUUUACGACCUCGAUGUUGGAUCAGGACACCCCAAUGGUGCAGCCGCCAUUAAAG
RNAcentral lists this ribosomal RNA (385 nucleotides) under Iberolacerta horvathi. RNAcentral's name for it is "partial 16S ribosomal RNA". It matches the Rfam family "Bacterial large subunit ribosomal RNA", at positions 1986 to 2570 of the family's 2925-position model. The record is from RNAcentral. Lineage: Eukaryota; Metazoa; Chordata; Lepidosauria; Squamata; Lacertidae.